Molecule: unclassified non-coding RNA, 23 nt
Filed under: Chlamydomonas reinhardtii
Lineage: Eukaryota; Viridiplantae; Chlorophyta; Chlorophyceae; Chlamydomonadales; Chlamydomonadaceae
Description: small RNA Cre_0252
Source: RNAcentral
ACCGAGAGCCACCACAGCGCUGC